RNAcentral lists this ribosomal RNA (635 nucleotides) under Sclerocleista ornata. RNAcentral describes it as "eukaryotic LSU rRNA". It matches the Rfam family "Eukaryotic large subunit ribosomal RNA", at positions 1 to 649 of the family's 3401-position model. Lineage: Eukaryota; Fungi; Ascomycota; Eurotiomycetes; Eurotiales; Aspergillaceae. The record is from RNAcentral.
UUGACCUCGGAUCAGGUAGGGAUACCCGCUGAACUUAAGCAUAUCAAUAAGCGGAGGAAAAGAAACCAACCGGGAUUGCCUCAGUAACGGCGAGUGAAGCGGCAAGAGCUCAAAUUUGAAAUCUGGCCCCCUCCGGGGUCCGAGUUGUAAUUUGCAGAGGAUGCUUUGGGUGCGGCCCCCGUCUAAGUGCCCUGGAACGGGCCGUCAUAGAGGGUGAGAAUCCCGUCUGGGACGAGGUGUCCGUGCCCGUGUAAAGCUCCUUCGACGAGUCGAGUUGUUUGGGAAUGCAGCUCUAAAUGGGUGGUAAAUUUCAUCUAAAGCUAAAUACUGGCCGGAGACCGAUAGCGCACAAGUAGAGUGAUCGAAAGAUGAAAAGCACUUUGAAAAGAGAGUUAAACAGCACGUGAAAUUGUUGAAAGGGAAGCGCUUGCGACCAGACUCGCCUACGGGGUUCAGCCGGCAUUCGUGCCGGUGUACUUCCCCGUGGGCGGGCCAGCGUCGGUUUGGGCGGUCGGUCAAAGGCCUCCGGAAUGUAUCACCCCCCGGGGUGUCUUAUAGCCGGAGGUGCAAUGCGGCCAGCCUAGACCGAGGAACGCGCUUCGGCUCGGACGCUGGCAUAAUGGUCGUAAGCGACC